UGUCCGCGCCGACCUCCAAGUCAUUUAAGCGGUCUUGGUGACGUCCAGCCGUUGGCACGAGCCUGAUAGUCCGCACGGAACGGUCCCCGCCACCCCAGUGGCAGGCGACUGCGAGACGGCGCCCUGCGAGUGUCCGAGUCUGAGAUUAAUUUCUCUUCCGGAAGUCAGCCGGCCGAGGCUGGCUCCAGACACCUCCGUGCUUCCCGCCGUGCUGUGCACGCCUAGUUGUUCGUGUCGUGUCGUCUUGGGGUAGAGACCCGGGCUGUGGGCAUCCGUAUCAUUUUUCAUUCAUUCAUUCACAUGCAUGCAUCCGUCCAUCCAUUCACCAUCGGUCCGUCCGUCCGUCCAUCCAUCCAUCCAUCCAUCCAUCUACCAUCCAUCCAUCCAUCCAUCAAUCCAUUCGUUGCUAGACUUUUCUAUUCCAGACGCGCGAGGCGUGGAGCAGAAAGAGGAUGAAAGAGGUUAAAUUAAGCUUCUGGCACAGUGCCCAGCAAAGUCCUUGACAAAGAGGCCAGCCGACGAAUAAAUGUUUGUGGAAGGAAAGAAGAAAAGGCCGUAUGUAAAUGACAUGAAAUGCAGAUCCCACCUGCCCUCAGGGCCACUGGACAGAAAAGACAGAGCUGCCAAAAUAGAUAAAUUAAAACAGGUCCCAUCUGAUUAAACACCAAAGGAGAGGGGGCCAGGCACACAUGUGGAGGUCUGGAGAGAUGACCGUGACCAGUCGUCGGAAAAAGCCGACGUCAAGAAGACGGGACCUGAACUGUGCGUACGGGAUGGGUCCAGAUUAACUAGGAAGAAAAGGACAUUCUGAGUCUCACCACACAAGAGGCGAGGCCGUGGGGAGGCAAGGUGAAGGACGAGGCGAAGCCCUUCUAAACUUCUCAUGCUUCCUUUCAUAUCGACUUCUGUUUAAUUAAGAGCUGUUUCGACGGCAUCAAGGAGUUUGCUGGAAGGCCUCAGAUCGCAGGGCAAGGAAUUCUGUCUAGGAAGGUCCAUGUGCAGAAUCAGAGCCCAAGAGACUCAGGUUCAUAGACUGGAAGUGAAGUGAAUAUACAGUCGCCCCUUGAACAGUGUGGGGAUUAGGGUGCCGACCCCCACACAGUUAAAAAUCCACGUGUAACUUUUGACUCUCCAAAAACGUACUUACUAGUAGCCUUCUGUAUUAACAGUAGAUUAACACACAUUUUGCAUGUUACAUGUAUAUAUACUGUAUUCUUACAAUAAAGUAAGCCAGAAAAAAGAAAAUAUUAAGAAAAUCACAAGAGAACAUACAUUUAUAGUAGCGUACAUAUUUGUUUUAAAAAGAAAUUCACGUAUAAGUGGACUCACACGGUUCAAACCCAUGUUAAGGGUCAACUGUACUUCUUAAUGUGGAUGAGUGUUCCCCCCCAAAAAUGUGCCAAGAUACAAAAUGUACUCGGUUUAAUAUUUCAGUUAAAAUAAACACCAUUUUCCAAACAGGAUCAUUUUUUGAUUUACAAAAGCACCAACACCCUACAAAUUUCAAACAAUAUUUCAGUGAGAAAACUCUAGAACAACGGAAGUCCAAGUUCCUUGGAGACUGUGGAAUUUGAUGUCUGUCCCGGCUAAGUAGUCUUCUAUCAGAUGCCCUGGCAUUUUUGCCCAUCAUUUUGUAAAUGCAUUUUCAACUUUCAGCUUGCAUAGCACAGAUAUCUUUGAAUUUUUAUUUUUUCAAUUUUAGCGUGUGAGAUUAUUUUUGCUAAAUUUAAUGGUUCCCAUUUUAUGAAAUGGAAACUUAUUUUUCCCUCAUGGUUCGUUCUCUUUUAAGCUUUUUAAAUGUUGGCUUUUUUCAUCCAGUCUUUGCUAUUAUCUGCAACACUUCCAAAUAUAAAAUAAUCUCUAAAUUUCUUUAAUGAGCUUCCUCUUGCCUUAGAAAAUUCUUAAAAAUCUAACUACCGCAUUCACUCUGUUUAUGUAGAAACUAUGAUUAAAAAGUGUUUUGUUCACCCUAGAAGUUCAAUAAAUGCUUACAGACCAA
Molecule: long non-coding RNA, 1999 nt
Organism: Pteropus alecto (black flying fox)
Lineage: Eukaryota; Metazoa; Chordata; Mammalia; Chiroptera; Pteropodidae
Exons: 2
Source: RefSeq, a predicted model, not a curated record